Molecule: transfer RNA, 64 nt
Filed under: Leptestheria brevirostris
Lineage: Eukaryota; Metazoa; Arthropoda; Branchiopoda; Diplostraca; Leptestheriidae
Description: tRNA-Leu
Source: RNAcentral
ACUAACCUGACAGAUAAAUGUGAUAGACUUAGAAUCUAUUUAUGAGAAGGUUUCUCGGUUAGUA